Long non-coding RNA from Loxodonta africana (African savanna elephant), 1316 nucleotides. RefSeq lists it as uncharacterized. The record is from RefSeq and is a predicted model, not a curated record. The transcript is spliced from 3 exons. NCBI's taxonomy places the organism in Eukaryota, Metazoa, Chordata, Mammalia, Proboscidea, Elephantidae.
CUUUUUUUGGUCUAUGUUUUGUACAUGUGAACUCAAGGCUGUGCUUGAAGAUAAUAUUCCUUUGGAGGCCAUGUUCAUAGCCAGGGUUCCGCCAGUGCAUGGAUACCUCCGAAAUUCUAUACCAGAAGAAGACAGCUUGGUUGCAGAUGAAAAGUCCUCUUUUAGCUUUAUACAACAGGAUAUUGAUGAUGGCAGUAUACACUAUGGGCAAACAGCUCCUGACCAACAUCUGGACUGUUUUCUGCUGGAUGUGUCUAAUGGUUUCCAAGCUGUGAGUGGAGUGGAAACCUUGGUAGCUAUUGUCCCUAAGCGAAUUCCUCUCAAGGUACAGAAUUUUACAAUCCAAGAAGGCGGCUCUAGAGCACUUCUGGAAGACUACUUCAAAAUUCCAAGCAAAUAUUUUGUGGUACUUGACUGUGAAUUUGUUCUACUUGAACCACCAAAACAUGGUUAUGUUGAAAAUUCUCAUUUUCCAAGAGUAAAACUAAUGAAAUUUACCAGGAAAGAGGUAGAAAAUGAAUUGAUUUACUGUGUUCAUGAUGAUAGUGAGGAGCUUCUUGACAACUUCACCAUCUCUGCAAAUAGCUCAGAACUUGGAAAAGAGUUUACCCCAAACUACUUUUGUGCCUGUUGAAUCAGUAAAUGAUGAGGCUCCAGUAAUAAUAGCCAAUAAAGUCCACCAGGGCCUUGGGCAUGAACCCACAAGACUGGAGUGAAAAAUAAUUGUAACUAUUAUAAGAGUAAGUGUUCAAAAGUAAGUGUUAGCUCUUAUUAUGUGCCCCAUACUGGUUGAAGGGCUGAUGACCCUCUGAGAUAUGAGCUACCAUUUUCCUUAUUGGACAGAUGCGGGAACUUCAUGACAGGUGUAUGAUGCACUCAGGAUAGAAUGAUAGUAAGGGAACCUGCAUGGUUUGUUCAUGGUUCUUUCAUGGUCCUGAGCAGUGCCUGACACAUGGUAAACAGUCAGGAAACAUUUGUUGAGUGCAUGAGUGGAAAUGUAAACUGCUCAUUUCCCCAACACAAGCCCAUGCUUUCUACAUCAGGCUUUUGCCCUGACUCUUUCUUCCUUUAGUAUGACUGUGUUUCUGGGAGAAUCCUUGGUCCCUUACAUAAAUAAGCCCCCCGUGUGCUCAUUCAUCAGGGUGUCCAGACAUGAAAAUCUAAAUAUGUUCACCUUGAAAUCUGAUGGGGACAAAUCUUCCUACUUAUAUAUUUGACAACUGCAGCCUUAUUUAUAUCACUCAUGAAGGUAAAUAAUUAAUAAUAGAUUCCUUAGAAGUUCAGAGGAAUUUGGGUGGUUGGAGAAGAUGCAGAAG